Mauremys reevesii (Reeves's turtle) is the source of this 575-nucleotide long non-coding RNA. RefSeq lists it as uncharacterized. The record is from RefSeq and is a predicted model, not a curated record. The transcript has 2 exons. NCBI's taxonomy places the organism in Eukaryota, Metazoa, Chordata, Testudines, Geoemydidae.
CCACUCAGCGGGGCCCAAAUUUGCAUGAGGGCAAACCACGAGAGGAGACUUGGCCAGGCUGGAAAAACCCCAACACAAAGUCGAAACAGAUGCUUGCCAGAGGCUUGACUCAUUCCAGUCACAACUGUGCAGGAGCAAAGGCAGUGCCACAGUGCAUUCGUCACCUGCUAGCCCGGAGGGGCCUUUCCAAGCCCACCGGGGCCGGCUGGGGCGCAUGAGGAUAUGUCUGCAGUAGGGGCAGUGUUGAUGUUUUUAGCCCGAUUCAUAAGAGAAAUCUGGGUGGCCAGAUUCCAAGCCGGGAUGUGUGUUCACUUAAGGAAGAAAGCUCCUUUAAAGGAACACGGGGCACUGUUCUACCCUGGAAGACCAGUGUCCCAGGCACUCACCUGAUCAAACUAAUCUGUCGGGAAAUCCUUUACUCACCGUGUACACCUCUGCUCCUGGGGGAAGCGGUGUGGCUUAGUGGCUAGGGAGCGGGCAUAGGCAUCAGCUCAGCCCCAGCCCUGCUGUAGCAUGUUGGGCGAGCUGCUCUUUGUGGCACGGACUGUGCCUCGGUCUGUGUCAGUGAUCUCAGU